RNAcentral lists this ribosomal RNA (522 nucleotides) under Amolops indoburmanensis (Indoburman torrent frog). RNAcentral's name for it is "partial large subunit ribosomal RNA". It matches the Rfam family "Bacterial large subunit ribosomal RNA", at positions 1927 to 2618 of the family's 2925-position model. The record is from RNAcentral. Lineage: Eukaryota; Metazoa; Chordata; Amphibia; Anura; Ranidae.
ACGGCCGCGGUACCCUAACCGUGCGAAGGUAGCAUAAUCACUUGUUCUUUAAAUGAGGACUAGUAUCAACGGCAUCACGAGGACUACACUGUCUCCUCUCUUCAAUCAGUGAAACUGAUCUCCCCGUGAAGAAGCGGGGAUUUAUUUAUAAGACGAGAAGACCCCAUGGAGCUUUAAACCCAAUGUAUAACCCAACACACAAAUCAAUAAAGCCCUGAGGAUCUAUACACUGGUUUUAGGUUGGGGAGACCACGGAGUAAAACUAAACCUCCACAACAAACUGGCUAAAGCCCUGAUCUAUGAACUACAACUCUAAGAGCCAACAAAUUGUUGCCAACGACCCAAUCACUUGAUUAAUGAACCAAGUUACCCUGGGGAUAACAGCGCAAUCUACUUCAAGAGCCCCUAUCGACAAGUAGGUUUACGACCUCGAUGUUGGAUCAGGGUAUCCAAGUGGCGCAGCCGCUACUAAUGGUUCGUUUGUUCAACGACUAAAACCCUACGUGAUCUGAGUUCAAACCG